This is a long non-coding RNA of Harpegnathos saltator (Jerdon's jumping ant), 223 nucleotides long. RefSeq lists it as uncharacterized. The transcript has 2 exons. The record is from RefSeq and is a predicted model, not a curated record. NCBI's taxonomy places the organism in Eukaryota, Metazoa, Arthropoda, Insecta, Hymenoptera, Formicidae.
UCAUCAUGAAAAAUAAGCUGAACACGAUUCUGUAGGAGAAAACGAGAACGAUAGGUUCUUGAGGGAUGCUACGAGGCGACAUCUCGCGAUUUGGCGAAACGACGUUUUACCCAGGGCUCAGCAUGGACGUCAGUAACACGUUGGACUUCCAUUUCUCUCCUCCGAAGCUUUUGUAUAUCCGUGCGGCCACGUAUCCCGCGGUAGUUCCCAGGCAGACGUACAA